Non-coding RNA from Callithrix jacchus (white-tufted-ear marmoset), 5111 nucleotides. The record is from RefSeq and is a predicted model, not a curated record. Lineage: Eukaryota; Metazoa; Chordata; Mammalia; Primates; Cebidae.
GCACCCGCGACGCGCGACGCCUGUCCUGGCUCUGAGACAGAGUCAGGGACUGUCUCGCAGGCUGCAGUACAAUUGCGCGGUCUCGGCUCACUGCAACCUCCGCCUCCAGGGUUCAAGCCCUUCUCCUGCCUCAGCCUCCCGAGUAGCUGGGAUUACUUUCCGGGGUGUUUUUGUUGUUGUUGUUAUUGUUUUAAAAGUCAGUCUCCUUCUGUUGUCCAGGCUGGAGUGCAGUGGUGUGAUCUUGGCUCACUACAACCUCCACUUCCUGGGUUCAAGCGAUUCUUAUGCCUCAGCCUCCCGGGUAGCUGGGACUACGAGCCUGCGCCACCACGCCCAGCCAGUGUCUGUAAUUUUAGUAGAGACAAGAUUUCACCAUGUUGGCCAGGCUGGUCUCCAACUCCUGACCUCAGGUGAUCCACCCGCCUCAGCCUCCCAAAAUGCCAGGAUUACAGAUGUGAGCCACUGUGCCGGACUUUUUCUUUUCUCUUCUUUUUUUUGAGACGGAGUCUUGCUCUGUCGCCAGGCUGGAGUGCAGAGGCGAUCCCGGCUCACUGCAACCUCCGCCUUCUGGGUUCAAGCAAUUCUCCUGCCUCAGCCUCCUGAGUAGCUGGGACUACAGUCGCACACCACCAUGCCCAGCUAAUUUUUGUAUUUUUAGUAGAGACAGGGUUUCACCUUGUUGACCAGGAUGGUCUCGCUCGAUGUCUUGACCUCGUGAUCCACCCACCUCGGCCUCCCAAAGUGCUGGGAUUACAGGCGUGAGCCACCUGCCUCAGCCUCCCAAAGUGGUGGGAUUACAGGCCUGAGCCACCGCGCCCAGCUGUUCCUUGUUGUUUUUUAAAAAUUACAGCUGGUCUGAUGGUCUAAGAGAGGAAAUCAAUGAGGCUGGAGAGAAAAGGGUGAAUGGCUGAAGUGACACCUGUGAGUUGACAAGAAGGACCAGGAGCUGGUAAACCAAAGAGGUGGCUCAGGCAGCCAGUGUCCCAUGGAAAGGCGCCAACUUGGAAGUGGCUCCUUCAGCCCCAAAUGAGCCUUCAGAUGAGGCAGCCCCGGCGACAGCUUGACUGCAACCUCAUGAGACACUCAAAGCCAGAAACACCCAGAUACCCUGCUGCCAGACUCCCUACCCACAGGAAAGGGACCGAGUGCUGUUGGGUGUCUUCCAGCAUUCCCGGCCUCCUCCCGACUACCUGACUGGAUGCCCCCUGCACACGCCACCCCCCACCCCAUGGCAGCCAAAACUGACGCCUGGGGCGGGACCCAGCGCCUAGCGGACGGUCGGAAACGGCAGUGGGGAAGCGGCACUCAGUGGACGCUCGUUCCCACCCCCCCCCCCCCGCCCCGUUUUGCCUCCUGCCUUCUGGUUUUGGUCUCUGGCUGCAGAUCAGCAGCUGUGCACCUGUGAUUCUACCACUGUGUCCACUUUCCGGAGAGGUGAUGAGACAUCGUGAGAGCUUGAAGCACAGGACAGAGGAGCAGAAUUCAGUGUCACACAUGCCUCUGCUGCCCGGGAGGAGGAGAGACUGCGGUUCGGGGUGGGAUGUGGAUGAGAGGCGGACGGGAGAAAAGAACAUGCGUGUCCACACGAACAUGUGCACACCCACAUCCAGAGCAGCACGACUCACAACAGCCAAAAAGCAGAGGCAACCCAAGCACCCAGCCACGAGAUGAGGUCCCGCUCUGUCACCCAGGCUGGAGUGCAAUGGCGAGAUCUCGGCUCACUGCAACCUCCACCUCCCAGAUAUGAUCUCACUCCGUCGCCCAGGCUGGAGUGCAGUGACGUGGUCUCGGCUCACUGCCACCUUGACUUCCCAGGCUCAAGUGAUUCUCCCGCCUCAGCCUCCCAAGUAGCUGGGACUACAGGCCUGCCAGAAAUGACCACCACUGCCUGCUCUCCACACGGCAGCCAGAAGGACAGCUGACCCCCCAAUAUGGCCCCAGUGAUCCCCACCGAAUAUUCAUGCCUUUAUGUAGCCCCCUCCCACUCUGAACAGGGCUGACCUGUGGGAAUGCCAACAGGUCACAGAACUUCCAAGGUUAAGGUAUAAAAGGCACAACAGUCUCGUCCUUGCUCUCUCUCUAGGGGAAGAUGUGAGGAUCUUCCAUGUUGUGAGGAUGCUCAAGCAGCCUUUUGUAGGGGCCCACGGGACAAAAAAACUGAGCCCUCCCACCAACAGCCACGUGAGAGAAGUGGGCUGGCAGCAGCUCAUCCAGCCCCCGGCAAGCCUUCGGAUGAUGCAACCCCAGAGUGUCUCCACUGCAGCCUUACCAGAGGCCAGAGCCAGAGCCAGCCAGCUAAGCCAGGCCCGGAGCAGCUGUGCACAACCGUGUUCAAUGUUGUUUGUUUGUUUUUUGAGACAGAGUCUCACUUUGUUGCCCAGGCUGGAGUGCAAUGGUGCAAUCUUGGCUUUCUGCAAACCUCUGCCUCCCAGGUUCAAGCAAUUUUCCUGCCUCAGCCUCCUGAGUAGCUGGGACUACAGGCAUGUGCCACCAUGCCUGGCUAAUAUUUUGUAUUUUUUUAGCAGAGACAGGGUUUCAUCGUGUUAGUCAGAAUGGUCUUGAUCUCCUGACCUCGUGGUCCGCCUGCCUGGCCUCCCAAAAUGCUGGGAUUACAGGCAUGAGCCGCUGCGCCGGCCUGUUUACUGUUGUUUAACGUGGCCAAGUUCGGUUUUGUUUUUUGUUGUUGUUCUUUUGUUUUUUUUCUUGAAAUGGAUUCUUGCUCUGUCGCCCAGGCUGGAGUGCAGUGACGUGGUCUUGGCUCACUGCAACCUCUGCCUCCCAGGUUCAAGCGAUUCUCCCACCUCAGCCUCCCAAGUAGCUGGGACUACAGGCUCCUGCCACCACACCCGGCUAAUUUUUGUGUUUCUAGUAGAGACGGUGUUUCACUAUGUUGCCCAGGCUGGUCUCCAACUCCCAGGCUCAGGUGAUGGUCCUGCCACAGCCUCCCAAAGCACUGGGAUUACAGGUCUCAGCCACACAUCCAGCCAUUGUGGGGCUUUGUUGCCCAGCUUCAAUAACAGAGUCAGAAGCACUUUCUUUUUGUUUUUUUUUUUUGAGACGGAGUUUCUCUCUUGUUACCCAGGCUGGAGUGCAAUGGCGCCAUCUCAGCUCACCACAACCUCCGCCUCCUGGGUUCAGACAAUUCUCCUGCCUCAGCCUCCUGAGUAGCUGGGAUUACAGGCACGCGCCACCAUGCCCGGCUAAUUUUUUGUAUUUUUAGUAGAGACGGGGUUUCGCCAUGUUGAUCAGGAUGGUCUCGAUCUCUUAACCUCGUGAUCCACCCGCCUCGGCCUCCCAAAGUGCUGGGAUUACAGGCUUGAGCCACCGCGCCCAGCCGAGCACUUUCAUUAUGUAAACUGGACCAUAAGAUCCAGUUUAAAAUCCUCCUGUGCCUCCUCACUACUCUAAACUCCUUGGCAGUCCCAAAGGCCCUUCAUGGCCACCUCCCAUCGUCUUCCCAGCCACACGGGCCUCCGUGCUGUUUAUCCAGCAUUCCAGGCCCAGUCCAGCCCUAGGCCCUUGGCAUUUGCUGUGCUCUCCAUGAGGAAUAUUCUUCCCCAAAUGUCCCCAGGUAGCAGGCCAGGCCAGGUCUCACUAACGCAGGCCUGCAUGACAACCGUUUCAGCACUGACUGAGUGGUUAAGUUAAACGUUAAAAGCUAAAAGAGGCUGGGCCUGGUGUCCCACACCUGUAAUCCCAGCACUUUGGGAGGCUGAGGUGGGCGGAUGACAAGAUCAGGAGUUCAAGACCAGCCUGACCAACAUGGUGAAACCCCAUCUCCUAAAAAUACACAAAUUAGCUGGGCAUGGUGGCUCGUGCCUGUAAUGCCAGCUACUCAGGAAACUGAGGUAGGAGAAUUGCUUGAAACUGGGAGGCAGAGGUUGCAGUGAGCCGAGAUCGCGCCACUGCACUCCAGCCUGGGCGACAGAGCGAGACUCCUCCUCAAAAAUAAAUGAAUUAAUUAAAUUAAAUAAAUAAAUAAUAAAAAUAGGCUGGGCACAGUGGCUCACACCCGUAAUCCCAGCACUUUGGGAGGCCAAGGUGGGUGGAUCAUGAAGUCAGGAGUUUGAGACCAGCCUGGCCAAUAUGGUGAAAUCCACCUCUACUAAAAAUGCAAAAAUUAUCCAGGCGUGGUGGCGGGCACCUGUAGUCCCAGCUACUCGGGAGGCUGAGACAGGAGAAUCGCCUGAACCCGGGAGAGGGAGGUUGCAGUGAGCUGAGACGGUGCCACUGCACUCCAGCCUGGGCGACAGAGCAAGACUCCGUCUCAAAAAAUAAUAAUAAUUAAAAAAUAAAACCGAAAAGAGCCAGUGCCCUCAUACAAAAGGCUGGAAUGUAACAAAAGCCUACCACGAGUUUUGCCCAGGCCUUCCCUGGGCCUUCAGGCAUGACAAGGAAGGAAUUCGUGGCAGUAGCAGCUGACACCUAGGUAGCAUUUGCUAUGCACCAGGCAGGCACUCCAAGCCAUUUACAUUCAUUCAUUCAUUCGAUCCACAUCACUACCCUAUGAGGUAGGUACUAAGAUUGUCCCAAUUUUACAGGUGAGGAAACUGAGGCAGCUUGGGACUGUGCUUGGGAACAGCGUGAAGAGUUAGGAAGCCAGGAAGUCCGACUCUAGAGUCAGGCUCUAAACCACCAACACUUUGUUGAAUGACUUAGGAUGGAAGAACAGAACCAGCGCAUGGAGAAGGGACCCCUCUCUGUCCUCCAGAUUGGCGAAGGCUUCAUCUCAGGAGAGGCAGGCUACUGCUUGCCGGCAGCCCUCUCUGGUCAACAGUGGCGUCAGCAAGGCUGCCUGGGCUUAAAGAGGGAGGUGAAGCCACCUAAGGAGAGUGACACCUUGAAAGACGGGUCAUCGCUGACCUCAGAAGCCAGGACUCUGCGAGCUGGCAGGGCGAUGGGGACCAUCGAGACCCAACAGUACGACAUAGGAGCUUCAGGACGUGAGGCUGGCAGUAUUUAAUGUAAAACACCCCAGAGGAAAGAGAUCACCCGGACUCGGGACCCCUUAACCCACCCCAUCCACAGCCAACGAAUCCCUGAGACCGGAUUCCAAACGAGGCGCCCCCGGUGCCCGCCCGCCCGCCAGACGCGGGCCCCGCACCGUGAUC